Molecule: ribosomal RNA, 429 nt
Filed under: Chloroflexota bacterium
Lineage: Bacteria; Bacillati; Chloroflexota
Description: Chloroflexi bacterium partial 16S ribosomal RNA
Rfam family: Bacterial small subunit ribosomal RNA
Source: RNAcentral
UGGGGAAUAUUGCACAAUGGGCGCAAGCCUGAUGCAGCCAUGCCGCGUGUAUGAAGAAGGCCUUCGGGUUGUAAAGUACUUUCAGCGGGGAGGAAGGGAGUAAAGUUAAUACCUUUGCUCAUUGACGUUACCGACAGAAGAAGCACCGGCUAACUCCGUGCCAGCAGCCGCGGUAAUACGGAGGGUGCAAGCGUUAAUCGGAAUUACUGGGCGUAAAGCGCACGCAGGCGGUUGAUUGAGUCAGAUGUGAAAUCCCCGGGCUUAACCCGGGAAUUGCAUCUGAUACUGGUCAGCUAGAGUCUUGUAGAGGGGGGUAGAAUUCCAUGUGUAGCGAUGAAAUGCGUAGAGAUGUGGAGGAAUACCGGUGGCGAAGGCGGCCCCCUGGACAAAGACUGACGCUCAGGUGCGAAAGCGUGGGGAGCAAACAGG